Molecule: ribosomal RNA, 417 nt
Filed under: uncultured Porphyromonas sp.
Lineage: Bacteria; Pseudomonadati; Bacteroidota; Bacteroidia; Bacteroidales; Porphyromonadaceae
Description: bacterial SSU rRNA
Rfam family: Bacterial small subunit ribosomal RNA
Source: RNAcentral
CAGAGGGAGAUAACCCGUCGAAAGACGGACUAAUACCGCGUACACUUACAGGAGGGCAUCCUCCCGUAAGGAAAUGAAAUUNGCUGNGAGAUAGGCAUGCGUCCCAUUAGCUAGUUGGUGAGGUAACGGCUCACCAAGGCGACGAUGGGUAGGGGAACUGAGAGGUUGAACCCCCACACUGGUACUGAGACACGGACCAGACUCCUACGGGAGGCAGCAGUGAGGAAUAUUGGGUCAAUGGGCGAGAGCCUGAACCAGCCAAGUCGCGUGAAGGAUGACUGUCUUAUGGAUUGUAAACUUCUUUUAUACGGGAAUAACAAGAGCCACGUGUGGCUCCCUGCAUGUACCGUAUGAAUAAGCAUCGGCUAACUCCGUGCCAGCAGCCGCGGUAAUACGGAGGAUGCGAGCGUUAUCCGG